UACGUAGGGGGCAAGCGUUGUCCGGAUUUAUUGGGCGUAAAGAGCGUGUAGGCGGUCAGGUAGGUCCGUUGUGAAAACUCGAGGCUCAACCUCGAGACGCCGAUGGAAACCCUCCAGCUAGAGUCCGGAAGAGGAGAGUGGAAUUCCUGGUGUAGCGGUGAAAUGCGCAGAUAUCAGGAAGAACACCCGUGGCUAAGGCGGCUCUCUAGUACGGUACUGACGCUGAGGAGCGAAAGCGUGGGGAGCGAACAGG
RNAcentral lists this ribosomal RNA (253 nucleotides) under uncultured bacterium. RNAcentral describes it as "partial 16S ribosomal RNA". It matches the Rfam family "Bacterial small subunit ribosomal RNA", at positions 524 to 776 of the family's 1533-position model. The record is from RNAcentral.